This 544-nucleotide ribosomal RNA is filed under the name bacterium A6T_VP7_E2. Its description in RNAcentral is "bacterial SSU rRNA". It matches the Rfam family "Bacterial small subunit ribosomal RNA", at positions 337 to 872 of the family's 1533-position model. The record is from RNAcentral.
UCCUACGGGAGGCAGCAGUGGGGAAUAUUGGACAAUGGGGGGAACCCUGAUCCAGCCAUGCCGCGUGUGUGAAGAAGGCCUUUUGGUUGUAAAGCACUUUAAGCGAGGAGGAGGCUUACCUGGUUAAUACCUGGGAUAAGUGGACGUUACUCGCAGAAUAAGCACCGGCUAACUCUGUGCCAGCAGCCGCGGUAAUACAGAGGGUGCAAGCGUUAAUCGGAUUUACUGGGCGUAAAGCGCGCGUAGGUGGCUAAUUAAGUCAAAUGUGAAAUCCCCGAGCUUAACUUGGGAAUUGCAUUCGAUACUGGUUAGCUAGAGUAUGGGAGAGGAUGGUAGAAUUCCAGGUGUAGCGGUGAAAUGCGUAAAGAUCUGGAGGAAUACCGAUGGCGAAGGCAGCCAUCUGGCCUAAUACUGACACUGAGGUGCGAAAGCAUGGGGAGCAAACAGGAUUAGAUACCCUGGUAGUCCAUGCCGUAAACGAUGUCUACCAGCCGUUGGGGCCCUUGAGGCUUUUGUGGCGCAGCUUAACCGAUAAUUAGACCGC